This 468-nucleotide ribosomal RNA is filed under the name uncultured bacterium. RNAcentral's name for it is "partial 16S ribosomal RNA". It matches the Rfam family "Bacterial small subunit ribosomal RNA", at positions 28 to 507 of the family's 1533-position model. The record is from RNAcentral.
GACGAACGCUGGCGGCGGGCUUAACACAUGCAAGUCGAACGGAAAGGCCCUGCUUUUGUGGGGUGCUCGAGUGGCGAACGGGUGAGUAACACGUGAGUAACCUGCCCUUGACUUUGGGAUAACUUCAGGAAACUGGGGCUAAUACCGGAUAGGAGCUCCUGCUGCAUGGGGGGGGUUGGAACGUUUCGGCGGGUGGGGCUGGACUCGCGGCUUAUCAGCUUGUUGGUGGGGUAGUGGCUUACCAAGGGUUUGACUGGUGGCCGGCCUGAGAGGGUGGCCGGCCACAUUGGGACUGAGAUACGGCCCAGACUCCUACGGGAGGCAGCAGUGGGGAAUAUUGCACAAUGGGCGGAAGCCUGAUGCAGCAACGCCGCGUGCGGGAUGACGGCCUUCGGGUUGUAAACCGCUUUCGCCUGUGACGAAGCGUGAGUGACGGUAAUGGGUAAAGAAGCACCGGCUAACUACGUG